This is a long non-coding RNA of Centrocercus urophasianus (Greater sage-grouse), 1845 nucleotides long. RefSeq lists it as uncharacterized. Lineage: Eukaryota; Metazoa; Chordata; Aves; Galliformes; Phasianidae. The record is from RefSeq and is a predicted model, not a curated record. The transcript has 4 exons.
AGUGGCUGGGCACUUGUUUUCCUUUAGGGAUAUGAGCCUUGGUGGCUGAUUUUGAAAAGGAGUUACUCCAGGGAACCAGUGACAUCAGUGAACAGAAAAGCAGGCCUGCUGCAAGGCUGCCUUGCUGCGAGUGUUUGUUUUCUGCAGCUCCCUUACGCGUAACUAUGAAGAGAAAUUGUGAAAAUGAAAACAGUUUUAGAAGACAGGUGUCAAAAUGGAAUUUUCUGUGCUUUCCUUUACUUCUCCCUUCAGUGAAGGCUGGAAAUGACCAUCAACACCAGAAUUAAGAGUAAUUUACAACUGGAAUUGCAGCAGUCAAGUUCUUAAUGCACUACACUAGAAAUGGGCUUCCUAGAUGCAAAGAGCAAGAAACGGCAAAGGAAGUCCUGUACAAGCAUACAGUGUGUGCUAAGCUCCUACAUUUUUAUAAACUGGCAGGCUGCCUCAUCAGCCAGAAUUUCACGAAGAUGGGAGGAAUAUAUGAUAGCUCUUCUUUGAUAAGCCUUCCUAAGGUUGUGAAAAACAAACAAAAAACAAAAACAUCCCACCCAGACUACUGGUGCAGAACUUAAUGAACUUAAUUCUUGACUGCCAAGAGUGAAGAGCAAAGAGACUUUGCUGCUUCGUGGAUCAGCUCUGUUCAAAGGUGACAGUGUUAUCGAUGUGUUAGCCCCUUCAGGGGCUGUCUGCAAGAACACCUGGUGCAAGGUAUGCUUGAUUCAGCAUGAAGUCUAGUGGGGAAUUAUUUUAUCUACAAAAGAGAGAUAAAAAGAACUAUUUCAUUCCAUCAUGUCAAUGCAUUUUUUGAGAAGAUGACUUCAACUUUUAGAGGAAUUUAGCUUACACUACAACAUUGUUGUGUCUUUCAGCUCAUACAUAUACAGCUUUCAUACAUUCACUGUAUGAAUACAAACAUUAAAGAUAUGAGAAAUUCAAUGCAGUGGUGGAAGAUCUUUAAUCAGCAACAAAAUCACAUAAAGCAAAUUAUAUUAAGUAAAACUUAUGUGUAGUUAAUCUGUGCCCAGCAAUAGCUUAGAAAGUGAGAAAACAACCUUUUCAGAACAGAAUACUUUGGAGGUAGAGCAAGAUGCAUCAGUUAAAGUUUUGACACCAGCAUUAAAAUAUUGAUUCAUAAAGCCUAAACCAUGUCUGUUUUUAUAAACAGUGUGGGUAUAAAACUGGAGAGAUGAGUAAGAUACCUCCAGUUAAACUGCCAUUGCACAUGAAAUAGUUGCUGUCACACUGUAAGACCAAAGGUUUAUGUGUUCCUUUUUGUAAUAUACAAUGCACAGACUAGAGAACUUCGGACUGGUGCAGUUGUUUUCAAUUAGUGUUUCUCCUUUACACUUUGUGGCUAAUGUUUUCCUAUUAUCAAGGUCUUGCAUAUUUUCAGCACCCACCCAACUCUGUGGUAUUAUAUGUAAUUUUUUUAAAGGUCUGAGUGACAAGUACAUUGAUAUAAGUGAAUCAUCAUUUUGCAGGCAUAACAUUUUAUCAGAUUGGUUUUCAAGUAGAUUUAUGUAUUUGAGAGUCUGCAUCUGCCAUACAAGAUUAGUGCAUGGAAGAUAGGACAUUUGUUGCAACAGUGAGCGACAGAAUUUUAUAUUUUAAACAUGUGAAGCAAACUUGAUAGUAAAUUAGCAUCAUGUUAAGUAGUUCCUGUUUAUCAGAUAUAGUAACUAGAGCUGAACGAAAAGGAUAUUAUUGUGUAAGAUCAGGACAAGUUUCCAUUCCCCACUAAUGUCACUGCUUUACAUUCCAGGAUGAACAAAAUAUCCUAGGGUGGUAACCACAUGACCAAACAAGAAAAGUAAAAUAAAAGAACAGCUGAAGUACAAUAUUUCC